CCACUUGCUUUAGAAAUGCUGUUGACGGAUAAGCAACUGUGGAAAAAUGGGUUUCUUCCUUUGCACCUAGCCCUUCUGUUGUUAUGUUCCCUUGGAAAUUUUAAAGUCUCUGCCUGGAUUGCAGUCUCUUGUGUUGCCUGUCAUGUCCUUGCCUUAUUUUGCCCUGUCUGCUGUAAAAGUAACACCAGGAAUCUUGUCAAUUUUCCCCCAGCCACUGCUAAACCUACAAGUGGAUCUGCUGGAUCUUCAAAAAAUCUUCAUGUGGACCACGGACGCGGUCUCUGUGGGAAUAACAGCUUUCAUAUGCAGCAAUGUCCUCACUCCCGACAGACCAGGAUCCCCUUUCCAGAGUAAUGGAGGAGCACCGUGAUUCUUUAAUCAAAAGUUACCGGAUUUGAAUGAAAUGCUAUAGAGAGGCUCUGGAAAUCAUUCAGUGUUCACAAUUGACUGAUCUUGAUUCUUGAGCAUGAAAGAGCUCAAGUCCUUGGAGCCAUCAUUGUGAUUCAGCAGAAAACAGAAGAAAGAAGCAGAGAUCUCGAAAGUCAA
Molecule: long non-coding RNA, 546 nt
Organism: Manacus vitellinus (golden-collared manakin)
Lineage: Eukaryota; Metazoa; Chordata; Aves; Passeriformes; Pipridae
Exons: 3
Source: RefSeq, a predicted model, not a curated record